AGAGUUUGAUCAUGGCUCAGAUUGAACGCUGGCGGCAGGCCUAACACAUGCAAGUCGAACGGUAACAUUUCUAGCUUGCUAGAAGAUGACGAGUGGCGGACGGGUGAGUAAUGCUUGGGAACUUGCCUUUGCGAGGGGGAUAACAGUUGGAAACGACUGCUAAUACCGCAUAAUGUCUUCGGACCAAACGGGGCUUCGGCUCCGGCGCAAAGAGAGGCCCAAGUGAGAUUAGCUAGUUGGUAAGGUAACGGCUUACCAAGGCGACGAUCUCUAGCUGUUCUGAGAGGAAGAUCAGCCACACUGGGACUGAGACACGGCCCAGACUCCUACGGGAGGCAGCAGUGGGGAAUAUUGCACAAUGGGGGAAACCCUGAUGCAGCCAUGCCGCGUGUGUGAAGAAGGCCUUCGGGUUGUAAAGCACUUUCAGUUGUGAGGAAAAGUUAGUAGUUAAUACCUGCUAGCCGUGACGUUAACAACAGAAGAAGCACCGGCUAACUCCGUGCCAGCAGCCGCGGUAAUACGGAGGGUGCGAGCGUUAAUCGGAAUUACUGGGCGUAAAGCGCACGCAGGCGGUUUGUUAAGCUAGAUGUGAAAGCCCCGGGCUCAACCUGGGAUGGUCAUUUAGAACUGGCAGACUAGAGUCUUGGAGAGGGGAGUGGAAUUCCAGGUGUAGCGGUGAAAUGCGUAGAUAUCUGGAGGAACAUCAGUGGCGAAGGCGACUCCCUGGCCAAAGACUGACGCUCAUGUGCGAAAGUGUGGGUAGCGAACAGG
This 771-nucleotide ribosomal RNA is filed under the name uncultured marine microorganism. Its description in RNAcentral is "bacterial SSU rRNA". It matches the Rfam family "Bacterial small subunit ribosomal RNA", at positions 8 to 776 of the family's 1533-position model. The record is from RNAcentral.